GACGGCGUGAAAACGGAAACAACAAGUAUGCCGGCUCACUGUGCUGCAUACAGUUACACACUACGUCGUACGAUUGAGACAAGGAAACUUGGAAUGACUUUUCAUAGGUUUCCCAGAGACUGUGGGUUGAGGAGGAAUUGGAAGUUUGUCGGCUUAGACCUGGUGUCAUUCCAUCAGUGUUAAACUUCCCGGCUCAUCUUGGAAGAGUACGUGCCAGAAAGACCACGACCAAGCAGCCUUGAGAUCUUAGGCAGCGUCUCCCUCAGACCAAAGAACUACAGACUCUUCACAACCUGCUCAAACUCUUGGUACAGGACCUCACCACACGGGUCAAGAAGGUUUCCUUCUCAUUUCUACUCUGAAGCUCACCUUCUCCUGCUCAAACUGCUGACAAAUGUUUCUGCUGCUCUAAAGUCUGCUCUCCAGAACUUCCUAGAAACUCUCAAAGUCACUUCUGCUGCAGGUUGCUUUGUAGAACUGUUCCAGAAAACCUCACUAAACCACAUGGAGGGGCCUCAAGAUAGUCGUCCAAAUGAAACCGUACAAAAACCAAAGUAGCACAACCCAAACGCUAAAGUCUCCUGCAGCCUACCAGAGAACCUCUGAGAA
Amphiprion ocellaris (clown anemonefish) is the source of this 609-nucleotide long non-coding RNA. The record is from Ensembl. Lineage: Eukaryota; Metazoa; Chordata; Actinopteri; Pomacentridae.